RNAcentral lists this ribosomal RNA (497 nucleotides) under uncultured bacterium. RNAcentral describes it as "partial 16S ribosomal RNA". It matches the Rfam family "Bacterial small subunit ribosomal RNA", at positions 28 to 507 of the family's 1533-position model. The record is from RNAcentral.
GAUGAACGCUGGCGGCGUGCCUAAUACAUGCAAGUCGAGCGAACGGACGAGAAGCUUGCUUCUCUGAUGUUAGCGGCGGACGGGUGAGUAACACGUGGAUAACCUACCUAUAAGACUGGGAUAACUUCGGGAAACCGGAGCUAAUACCGGAUAAUAUUUUGAACCGCAUGGUUCAAAAGUGAAAGACGGUCUUGCUGUCACUUAUAGAUGGAUCCGCGCUGCAUUAGCUAGUUGGUAAGGUAACGGCUUACCAAGGCAACGAUGCAUAGCCGACCUGAGAGGGUGAUGGGGCACGCGGGAGGGGAGACGGGGUCCAGAGUCGGACGGGAGGCAGCAGUAGGGAAUGGGGGGCAAGGGGCGAAAGCCUGACGGAGCGACGCCGCAUGAGUGAUGAAGGUCUUCGGAUCGUAAAACUCUGUUAUUAGGGAAGAACAUAUGUGUAAGUAACUGUGCACAUCUUGACGGUACCUAAUCAGAAAGCCACGGCUAACUACGUG